This 1235-nucleotide ribosomal RNA is filed under the name metagenome. RNAcentral's name for it is "bacterial LSU rRNA". It matches the Rfam family "Bacterial large subunit ribosomal RNA", at positions 1564 to 2808 of the family's 2925-position model. The record is from RNAcentral.
UGAGUACAAGAUGCUACGGCAUUGAAGCAGUCUAUGUCAUAUUUCCAAGAAAAGCUUGCAAUGUCAUAAACAAAUAAUGCCUGUACCAUAACCGACACAGGUGGGUAGGUAGAGUAUACUAAGGGGCGCGAGAUAACUCUCUCUAAGGAACUCGGCAAAAUGACUCCGUAACUUCGGGAGAAGGAGUACCUUAUUUUAUAAGGUUGCAAUAACAAGGUCCAAGCAACUGUUUACCAAAAACACAGGUCUCCGCUAAGUCGUAAGACGAUGUAUGGGGGCUGACGCCUGCCCAGUGCCAGAAGGUUAAAGAAGUUGGUUAGCAUUAGCGAAGCUGAUAACUGAAGCCCUGGUGAACGGCGGCCGUAACAAUAACGGUCCUAAGGUAGCGAAAUUCCUUGUCGGGUAAGUUCCGACCCGCACGAAAGGCGUAAUGAUUUGGAUACUGUCUCGGAGAGGGGCUCGGUGAAAUAGACUUGUCUGUGAAGAUGCGGACUACCUGCACCUGGACAGAAAGACCCUAUGAAGCUUUACUGUAACUUGAGAUUGAAAUUGGACUUUAUUUGCGCAGUAUAGGUGGGAGACCUCGAAAGUAUUCUUGCGGGAAUAUUGGAGUCAUCAGUGAGAUACCACUCUUAUAAUGUUAGAUUUCUAACUUUGUAUCAUUAUCUGGUCAAAGAACAGUUUCAGGCGGGCAGUUUGACUGGGGCGGUCGCCUCCCAAAUGGUAACGGAGGCGCACAAAGGUUUCCUCUGAACGUGUAGAAAUCGUAUCUAGAGUGUAAAGGCAUAAGGAAGCUUGACUGUGAGACCUACAAGUCGAGCAGGGACGAAAGUCGGUCUUAGUGAUCUGACGGUGCUGAGUGGAAAGGCCGUCACUCAACGGAUAAAAGUUACUCUAGGAUAACUGGCUGAUCUCCCCCAAGAGUUCACAUCGACGGGGAGGUUUGGCACCUCGAUGUCGGCUCAUCGCAUCCUGGGGCGGUAGUACGUCCCAAGGGUUGGGCUGUUCGCCCAUGAAAGCGGUACGCGAGCUGGGUUCAGAACGUCGUGAGACAGUUCGGUCCAUAUCCGGUGUAGGCGUUAGAAUAUUGAGAGGAGCCUUCUUUAGUACGAGAGGACCGAGAAGGACAUACCUCUGGUGUACCAGUUAUCGUGCCAACGGUAAACGCUGGGUAGCUAUGUAUGGAGAGGAUAACCGCUGAAAGCAUCUAAGUGGGAAGCCCACCUCAAGAUAAG